This 253-nucleotide ribosomal RNA is filed under the name uncultured bacterium. RNAcentral describes it as "partial 16S ribosomal RNA". It matches the Rfam family "Bacterial small subunit ribosomal RNA", at positions 524 to 776 of the family's 1533-position model. The record is from RNAcentral.
UACGUAGGGUGCAAGCGUUGUCCGGAAUUAUUGGGCGUAAAGAGCUCGUAGGUGGUCUGUCGCGUCGGCUGUGAAAACUCGGGGCUCAACCCCGAGCCUGCAGUCGAUACGGGCAGACUUGAGUGCGGUAGGGGAGACUGGAAUUCCUGGUGUAGCGGUGAAAUGCGCAGAUAUCUGGAGGAACACCGGUGGCGAAGGCGGCAUCCUGGACCGGCAUUGACGCUAAAGCGCGAAAGCCAGGGGAGCAAACGGG